GUGGGGAAUUUUGGACAAUGGGCGAAAGCCUGAUCCAGCCAUGCCGCGUGUGUGAAGAAGGUCUUCGGAUUGUAAAGCACUUUAAGUUGGGAGGAAGGGCAGUAAGUUAAUACCUUGCUGUUUUGACGUUACCGACAGAAUAAGCACCGGCUAACUUCGUGCCAGCAGCCGCGGUAAUACGAAGGGUGCAAGCGUUAAUCGGAAUUACUGGGCGUAAAGCGCGCGUAGGUGGUUUUGUAAGUUGGAGGUGAAAUCCCCGGGCUCAACCUGGGAACUGCAUCCAAAACUGCAUGACUAGAGUACGGUAGAGGGUAGUGGAAUUUCCUGUGUAGCGGUGAAAUGCGUAGAUAUAGGAAGGAACACCAGUGGCGAAGGCGACUACCUGGACUGAUACUGACACUGAGGUGCGAAAGCGUGGGGAGCAAACAGGAUUAGAAACCCGUGUAGUCC
Molecule: ribosomal RNA, 450 nt
Filed under: uncultured bacterium
Lineage: Bacteria
Description: partial 16S ribosomal RNA
Rfam family: Bacterial small subunit ribosomal RNA
Source: RNAcentral